AUACUGCUCUGUCGCUUUAGUAAAUCUAAAGAGGAAAGUCCGGACAACGUAGGGCACCACACCAUCUAACGGAUGGGAUCAUGCCAGGCAUGGUACAGAAAGUGUCACAGAAAAUAACCGCCUAGCUGAGCUGGGUAAGGGUGAAAAUGUGAGGUAAAAGCUCACAGGUUCAUGCAGUAAUGUAAGAAUCGGAUAAACCUUGUGGGUUGAAAUGCCAUGUAUAUCCUGGCCUUCUGCUGAAGAAGUCUGAUUGGCAUCGGUCGGAAACCCUUUUUGGGUAGUCAGGAGGGGUAGGCAGCUUAGAUAAAUGACAGAGGACACAUUUUUUUGUGUUACAGAAUCCGGCUUACAGGUAUUAUU
RNAcentral lists this RNase P RNA (360 nucleotides) under Saprospiraceae bacterium. RNAcentral's name for it is "RNase P RNA component class A". It matches the Rfam family "Bacterial RNase P class A". Rfam says of the family: Ribonuclease P (RNase P) is a ubiquitous endoribonuclease, found in archaea, bacteria and eukarya as well as chloroplasts and mitochondria. Its best characterised activity is the generation of mature 5'-ends of tRNAs by cleaving the 5'-leader elements of precursor-tRNAs. Lineage: Bacteria; Pseudomonadati; Bacteroidota; Saprospiria; Saprospirales; Saprospiraceae. The record is from RNAcentral.